This is a non-coding RNA of Phrynosoma platyrhinos (Desert horned lizard), 72 nucleotides long. The record is from the annotation of a GenBank genome assembly. NCBI's taxonomy places the organism in Eukaryota, Metazoa, Chordata, Lepidosauria, Squamata, Phrynosomatidae.
GCCAGUGUGGCAUAGUGGUUUGAGUGUUGGACAAUGACUCUGGAAAUUAGGGUUUGAAUCCCUGCUCAGCCA